UACGGAGGGGGCUAGCGUUGUUCGGAAUUACUGGGCGUAAAGCGCACGUAGGCGGCUUUGUAAGUUAGAGGUGAAAGCCCGGGGCUCAACUCCGGAAUUGCCUUUAAGACUGCAUCGCUAGAAUUGUGGAGAGGUAAGUGGAAUUCCGAGUGUAGAGGUGAAAUUCGUAGAUAUUCGGAAGAACACCAGUGGCGAAGGCGACUUAAUGGACACAUAUUGACGCUGAGGUGCGAAAGCGUGGGGAGCAAACAGG
Molecule: ribosomal RNA, 253 nt
Filed under: uncultured bacterium
Lineage: Bacteria
Description: partial 16S ribosomal RNA
Rfam family: Bacterial small subunit ribosomal RNA
Source: RNAcentral